GCGGCAGGCCUAAUACAUGCAAGUCGAGGGGUAACAGGAAGUGCUUGCACUUCGCUGACGACCGGCGCACGGGUGAGUAUCGCGUAUACAAUCUGCCUCAUACUAGGGAAUAGCCCGAAGAAAUUUGGAUUAAUGCCCUAUAGCAUCUUUCUAAGGCAUCUUAUUAAGAUUAAAGGUUACGGUAUGAGAUGAGUAUGCGUUCUAUUAGCUAGUAGGUGUGGUAACGGCACACCUAGGCUACGAUAGAUAGGGGCCCUGAGAGGGGGAUCCCCCACACUGGUACUGAGACACGGACCAGACUCCUACGGGAGGCAGCAGUAAGGAAUAUUGGUCAAUGGACGAAAGUCUGAACCAGCCAUGCCGCGUGCAGGAUGACUGCCCUAUGGGUUGUAAACUGCUUUUAUAUAGGAAGAAAAACUUUCUCGUGAGAAAGCUUGACGGUACUAUAAGAAUAAGGAUCGGCUAACUCCGUGCCAGCAGCCGCGGUAAUACGGAGGAUCCAAGCGUUAUCCGGAAUCAUUGGGUUUAAAGGGUCCGUAGGUGGACAAAUAAGUCAGAGGUGAAAUCCUGCAGCUCAACUGUAGAACUGCCUUUGAUACUGUUUGUCUUGAGUUAUUAUGAAGUGGUUAGAAUGUGUAGUGUAGCGGUGAAAUGCAUAGAUAUUACACAGAAUACCGAUUGCGAAGGCAGAUCACUAAUAAUCAACUGACACUGAUGGACGAAAGCGUGGGUAGCGAACAGGAUUAGAUACCCUGGUAGUCCACGCCGUAAACGAUGGUCACUAGCUGUUUGGACUUCGGUCUGAGUGGCUAAGCGAAAGUGAUAAGUGACCCACCUGGGGAGUACGUU
Molecule: ribosomal RNA, 849 nt
Filed under: uncultured Flavobacteriaceae bacterium
Lineage: Bacteria; Pseudomonadati; Bacteroidota; Flavobacteriia; Flavobacteriales; Flavobacteriaceae
Description: bacterial SSU rRNA
Rfam family: Bacterial small subunit ribosomal RNA
Source: RNAcentral